Molecule: long non-coding RNA, 357 nt
Filed under: Musa acuminata (dwarf banana)
Lineage: Eukaryota; Viridiplantae; Streptophyta; Magnoliopsida; Zingiberales; Musaceae
Description: long non-coding RNA (MACU_LNC010952)
Source: RNAcentral
UUGAAUGCAUGUACCAGUGAGUCCCAUGGGAGGGACUUGAUCAUGCAGAGGUAUGAUCGAAGCAGUUGGAGAGUUGGACUGCUCCAGAGCCCAUAUUCGCUUAAGGGAGCCCGGAAAGUUAGAGGACAAGGUCGAGUAAGCGAACGUUGCUACCAAGGAAGCUAAGGAGAACAGAAUCCGUGCAAAUCCUACAAUGUGAUGGCAGAGGCCAUGCAUGGGAGUUGCAGUCUGUCUUUCCAUCGACCAAAGGGAGCUGCAUGGAGAACAUAGAGGUGUUGAAGCAGGGGGUCGAAAGGGGCGAGGAAGCGAUGACGAGUCCAGAGGGACUUAGCUACCCAAAAUCAAGCAUAAGUUAGA